RNAcentral lists this long non-coding RNA (249 nucleotides) under Lathyrus oleraceus (garden pea). RNAcentral's name for it is "Pisum sativum (pea) long non-coding RNA (PSAT_LNC009199)". Lineage: Eukaryota; Viridiplantae; Streptophyta; Magnoliopsida; Fabales; Fabaceae. The record is from RNAcentral.
AACGUUCACUUUAAGAGUAAUUGAUUUUAGUAAGGAAUGUCAACAGCAGUCUGAGAACAGGUAAGUCUUGAAGUGUAAAGCAUUGUUGGUCUACCCCAAGAAGUUGGUUUGGUAACUAUUUUCCUCCACAACAGUUUUCCAUUUAUCCCCAACUUGGUUGAUGAGGUUCUCCCCAAAUAUUUCAUCAUCCCCAGUAGGGCCGGUGAGUCUCAUAUCCAGUAGAGUUGAGAUGAUGAUCGGUCCCCGUUG